Molecule: long non-coding RNA, 2867 nt
Organism: Aethalodelphis obliquidens (Pacific white-sided dolphin)
Lineage: Eukaryota; Metazoa; Chordata; Mammalia; Artiodactyla; Delphinidae
Exons: 3
Source: RefSeq, a predicted model, not a curated record
CUUUUCCCAUAUAGGUUAUUACAGAAUACUGAGUAAAGUUCCCAGUGCUAUUCAGUAGGUCCUUGUUGAUUACCUAUUUUUAUAUAUAGUAGUGUGGAUAUGUUAAUCCUAGACUCCUAGGGAUUUGAUUUUUUUUCCGUAAUCUGCCAUCUGGACUCUAUAGAAUGAGAGAAGGGUCACUUGGUAAACUGAUCCCAGUUUGUUCACUUAUAGGAAUUGCACACUGGGGGAAAGCACCCACUACAAACUGUGCUACCAUGGAAGUAGUAUCGUCCAUCAUUGUGCUGUUUCCUAGGAUGGCUGUCUCCAUCGAGCACAGCUCUCUAGGUCCCCCCAGUCUCCUCCAGGUCUUCUCCCUCCGAGGCUUCCUUUGGUUCCACCUUACUAGGGCUGACCCUUGGUGGACACAGGACCUGAAUAGCAAAGCCAUGCCCCUUCUGUCCCUCCCUGCAAACAGCACCCCAGGACUGCCCUCCCUGAGUCCAGUGGGCUUGUCUGCCCUGCAGGGACACACAUGGGCCUAAAAAGCCAGACACUGGAAAGCCUUGGAAGACAAUGACCCAGCCUUGGCAGGAAGAGACAUAAGCAAGAGAAGUUUGGGGUUGAUUACAAAACAGCUUGUGCCAAAAGUGGUAGAUUCUCAGGAGAAAAACCUUAUCUAGGAAGUUCCAGGGCAAGGAAGAAUAAAGAAAAAUGAAAUGGCAGAGAGAAGCAACAAGACCAAAUUAAGAAAUGUAAGAUCUAGAUAGAUCGUUAGGAGGCAUGUAUGGUCCGCAAUGGAUGCUUUGUCCUUGAGACAUUUAAAAUAAAAUCAAGAGAGGCCUUCACUGACCACUCUAAGUAGCUUAAGUCUUUUCCACCUUCGCCUCCUGGGUUUGGUUGCGAGGUAUUUCGCUGGCUCAGUUAUGAGCAUUCUGGGGUCGGGCUGCCUUCUAGGUGGGGAGCUAGUUAUGAGCAUUCUGGGGUCGGGCUGCCUUCUAGGUGGGGAGCUAGUUAUGAGCAUUCUGGGGUCGGGCUGCCUUCUAGGUGGGGAGCUAGGAACAGGGAGCCCUCUCUUCCUCGGACCAGCUUUCCAUUCUUUCUCUUUUCUUUCUCUCUUUCUUUCUGACUUUCUUUCUUCCUGUCCUUCCUUUCCCUUCCUUCCUUCCCUCCUUCCCUCUCUCCCUCCCUUCCCCCCUUUCUUCCUGUCUUCCUGCAAAUAAGGGAAAAAAAAAAACUUGAGGAGACCACUGGUGCAGGUUCCAGUAAUAACCGUGGCAGGUAAUUUUUGCACAUCCGGAGUGAGUCAUUUUCUUAUAAAUGAGAUCAGGGGCUGUAGUGCUCCCAGAAGAAAAAAACACUUAUAUUGACGUGUUUAUGUAUUGGAAUGAUAAUAUUUGUCCAUGUGAAAAGACGUGUGAUUCCUUUCUCCCACACCAUAUGGCUUAUUACUCUUCCUAAUCCAAAUAGUAGCAGCUGCUGCAGAAUGCGAGAAUGAGUUUUCCUGAAGUAAAAAUGGGCUGUCUUGGACGCCACAUGUACUUUCCACAGUAUCACCAGCAAUUCACCAGAAACCUACAUAUGGGUCCCUUCCAUUAAUCCAUUCCUUUCUUUAUUCAUAUCUCAGAAGUUCAUUUUUCUAUCCACUUCCAUUCUGUCCCUCUCACCCAACCUACCCCCAUUCAGCCUGGGCCCCCACGGGGCCACUCCACCUCGGGAACAUGGACGCGUAUUGUUUAGAACUGUUGGCAACUGAAGGUUUCAGUUUGGGUCUUGCUGACCGCUGACAACUGCCAGAGAAAAUGGCAGUGAAUUUUCGCCCUGGUUCCCCAUGUGGCUUCCUACACUGCUGAACUGCAUUAUAUAUUUGUAGUUAAUCAGACACAUGAAGACACUGAAGCAGUUAAUGACUCCCCCUCAGGCCAACUUGGCCCAACUCUGAGGUAAUGGAAAGUGUAGGGCAGCACUUUCUACAGACCACUGGAAUGUGGUUUGCAGAGACCCUUGAGGUUUAAGAAGGAAGCCAUUUGUGGCCUAGGUGCUGGAUGCCACUGUAGAAACCAACACGCUCACCAGCACAAAAUAACCCAGUUUCACAGAGGAGAGGUAUCUGUGGCACUUAUCAUUACACGGUCAUUCUGAGUCCCCCUGAAAGCUGGAGGUUUUAGAAAAUCAAAACACUCUUCUUGCUGAUUAUACACAUUAGAGUGGUAAAUAUCUAGACCAUUUAACCAAAAGAAAAAAAAAAGUCCUGACCAAAUAUCCCAAAACUUGAGCCUAAAAUGAAAGUAUAUAGAUAAUUGCUUUAAUUUUCCACUUCAGUUGGUUAAGUUAUAAUAAUACCUUGCACUUGCGUGAUGUAUCAUAGUUUUCAGGGUGUUUUCAUGUAUAUUAAUAGUAAUUGAGACUUUUUUCCAAGAAGACUGUCAGGUGACCUGAAUCGAUGGACAUGCGUGAGAUUGGUAUAUUAUCUCUGUCAGCUACGUUUUCUGUUCCUCCCACAGCGGGUAUCACUAAUUUCCAACUUGUAUCGGCCAUCUUCCCGCAGCCAUUUGUCUUAUUCAGCGAAACUUCCCCCGAAGGCUCAGCUCUCUCCACUCCCAGAACCCAUCCUGACCUGCAGUGUGAAUCUGAUGUUGGAUGCUUCGAGAUGAACUCAGAAAGUCCAUUUGUCUGGGAGCUGUUUCUUAAUACGCCUUCAUCUUGUAGCCGAAUUCCUCUCCUGUGACUGAAAUAUUAAUCAAAGGCUGUUUCUGCAUCUCACAUCAUGUACACCUGCCUCUCAUCAUCGGAAGAGAUGAAGUAGACUCAUCUGUGUGACCGUGUGCCUCUAUCUAGGCAUAGUUUAAGGUUCUAUUGACAGAAAUAAAAAGGGAAUGGCCAGAAAA